GUAGUCUCGCACAGAUGCAUAUCAAUAAGCGGAGGAAAAGAAACUAACAAGGAUUCCCCUAGUAACGGCGAGUGAAGCGGGAAGAGCUCAAAUUUGAAAUCUUAAAGGGUUUCCCUUUACGAAUUGUAGUUUAAAGAAGUGUUUUCUGUUGAGGUUUUGGUAAAAGUUCUUUGGAACAGGACAUCAUAGAGGGUGAGAAUCCCGUAUUUGACCUUUACUUUCAACUUUGUGAUACACUUUCAAAGAGUCGGAUUGUUUGGGAAUGCAGUCCAAAAUGGGUGGUAAAUUUCAUCUAAAGCUAAAUAUUGGCGAGAGACCGAUAGCGAACAAGUACCGUGAGGGAAAGAUGAAAAGAACUUUGAAAAGAGAGUUAAACAGUACGUGAAAUUGUCAAAAGGGAAGCGUUUGACACCAGUGUUGUUUUUCUGAAAAUCAAUUAAAGAACUGUUUAUGCUAAGUUGUUUAGACUUUAUCAGCUAACUGUUUAGUUUUGAGCUUUUCUUUAAUGCACUUUUCAGUUAACAAGUCAACAUCAAUUUCUUUUGCUGUAAAAAAGCUUGAGGAAGGUGGCUUGAGAUUCGUCUUAAGUGUUUAUAGCCUCUUGCCUAUGCAGUCGGAGAGAUUGAGGUCUGCAGCGUAGAUCCUUCGGGCUAAAUGCAUUUGUGCUAAGUUAUAACAUUUUAUAGACAACUUGUUGACUAUGAUUUGUCUUGUAGCUUACUCGCUUAUGUUAUUUUACCUACGCUUAGGAUGUUGAUCUGUAGUGCGUGCGC
This 773-nucleotide ribosomal RNA is filed under the name uncultured Neocallimastigales. RNAcentral describes it as "partial large subunit ribosomal RNA". It matches the Rfam family "Eukaryotic large subunit ribosomal RNA", at positions 24 to 646 of the family's 3401-position model. The record is from RNAcentral. Lineage: Eukaryota; Fungi; Neocallimastigomycota; Neocallimastigomycetes; Neocallimastigales.